GUGCUGGCUGUGGCAGCACAUAUACUAGAAUUAGAAUGAUACAGAGAAGAUCAGCCUGGCCCCUGCACAAGGAUGACAUGCAAAUUCAUGAAACAUUCCGUAUUUUU
Molecule: small nuclear RNA, 107 nt
Filed under: Sus scrofa (pig)
Lineage: Eukaryota; Metazoa; Chordata; Mammalia; Artiodactyla; Suidae
Also listed under: 1 other name
Source: RNAcentral